RNAcentral lists this ribosomal RNA (454 nucleotides) under uncultured bacterium. RNAcentral's name for it is "bacterial SSU rRNA". It matches the Rfam family "Bacterial small subunit ribosomal RNA", at positions 339 to 795 of the family's 1533-position model. The record is from RNAcentral.
CUACGGGAGGCAGCAGUGGGGAAUCUUGCGCAAUGGCCGAAAGGCUGACGCAGCGACGCCGCGUGGAGGAUGACGCCCUUCGGGGUGUAAACUCCUGUUGCCCGGGACGAAUACCUGUUUCGACAGGGGUGACGGUACCGGGUGAGGAAGCACCGGCUAACUCUGUGCCAGCAGCCGCGGUAAUACAGAGGGUGCGAGCGUUGUCCGGAAUCACUGGGCGUAAGGGCGCGUAGGUGGCGCGGUAAGCGUGUGGUGAAAGUCCGGGGCUCAACCCCGGAUCGGCCAUGCGAACUGCCGCGCUGGAGCACGGUAGAGGCACAUGGAAUUCCGGGUGUAGCGGUGGAAUGCGUAGAGAUCCGGAAGAACACCGGUGGCGAAGGCGGUGUGCUGGGCCGUUGCUGACACUGAGGCGCGACAGCGUGGGGAGCAAACAGGAUUAGAAACCCCAGUAGUC